AUACAUUUGUAUCUAGCGUAGGAAGUGUGCAAAGUUACGCCUUUAUAAGAUAUGAUGUGUGAGACCUGUAGGGAAUGCGUUGGAGCUCAAACUCUGUAAAAUCCC
Helicobacter pylori 26695 is the source of this 105-nucleotide small RNA. It matches the Rfam family "Heliobacter pylori small RNA HPnc0580". NCBI's taxonomy places the organism in Bacteria, Pseudomonadati, Campylobacterota, Epsilonproteobacteria, Campylobacterales, Helicobacteraceae. The record is from Rfam.